AUACGAAGGUCCCAAGCGUUAUUCGGAAUCACUGGGCGUAAAGAGUACGUAGGCGGUUUGGUAAGUCAGGUGUGAAAUCCCGAAGCUCAACUUCGGAACUGCAUCCGAUACUGCCAGACUAGAGUAAUGGAGAGGCAGGUGGAAUUCUCGGUGUAGCAGUGAAAUGCGUGGAUCUCGAGAGGAAGACCAAUGGCGAAGGCAGCCUGCUGGACAUUUACUGACGCUGAGGUACGAAGGCUAGGGGAGCGAAAGGGAUUAGAUACCCCAGUAGUCC
RNAcentral lists this ribosomal RNA (274 nucleotides) under uncultured bacterium. RNAcentral's name for it is "partial 16S ribosomal RNA". It matches the Rfam family "Bacterial small subunit ribosomal RNA", at positions 523 to 796 of the family's 1533-position model. The record is from RNAcentral.